Molecule: ribosomal RNA, 424 nt
Filed under: uncultured prokaryote
Description: bacterial SSU rRNA
Rfam family: Bacterial small subunit ribosomal RNA
Source: RNAcentral
UGGGGAAUCUUGCACAAUGGGCGCAAGCCUGAUGCAGCCAUGCCGCGUGAGUGAAGAAGGCCCUAGGGUUGUAAAACUCUUUCAGCGGGGAAGAUAAUGACGGUACCCGCAGAAGAAGCCCCGGCUAACUCCGUGCCAGCAGCCGCGGUAAUACGGAGGGGGCUAGCGUUGUUCGGAAUCACUGGGCGUAAAGCGCGCGUAGGCGGAUCAGUCAGUCAGGGGUGAAAUCCCGAGGCUCAACCUCGGAACUGCCCUUGAUACUGCUGAUCUUGAGGUCGAGAGAGGUGAGUGGAAUUCCUAGUGUAGAGGUGAAAUUCGUAGAUAUUAGGAAGAACACCAGUGGCGAAGGCGGCUCACUGGCUCGAAUCUGACGCUGAGGUGCGAAAGCGUGGGGAGCAAACAGGAUUAGAUACCCCCGUAGUCC